UACGGAGGGUGCAAGCGUUAUCCGGAUUCACUGGGCUUAAAGGGUGCGUAGGUGGGUUGGUAAGUCAGUGGUGAAAUCUCCGAGCUUAACUUGGAAACUGCCAUUGAUACUAUCAGUCUUGAAUAUUGUGGAGGUCAGCGGAAUAUGUCAUGUAGCGGUGAAAUGCUUAGAUAUGACAUAGAACACCAAUUGCGAAGGCAGCUGGCUAGACAUAUAUUGACACUGAGGCACGAAAGCGUGGGGAUCAAACAGG
Molecule: ribosomal RNA, 253 nt
Filed under: uncultured bacterium
Lineage: Bacteria
Description: partial 16S ribosomal RNA
Rfam family: Bacterial small subunit ribosomal RNA
Source: RNAcentral